This is a long non-coding RNA of Brassica napus (rape), 820 nucleotides long. RefSeq lists it as uncharacterized. The record is from RefSeq and is a predicted model, not a curated record. The transcript has 3 exons. Lineage: Eukaryota; Viridiplantae; Streptophyta; Magnoliopsida; Brassicales; Brassicaceae.
AUUGGCCUUUUGACCUAGGACGACGCCAAUAGAAAAACAAAGAAACGGAAACCAUGAGUGACGGCAAGGAGAAGAUCGGAUGUUUCAUGGAAGCCCUAGAAUCUUUAUUCAUCAGCGGUAUAAACGGGGAUGAUGUUCCACAUUCUAAUGGGAAUAUCAUCAGUUUAUACCAAACAGAAUAUGAAAGAGCCAAAGUCUAUGAAGAUAAGAUGAAAGCACGUUUGAGAUAUGCCUGUGCCCUCACCUAAAUCCAGUGACGUUCAGCAUGGGAUAAGAUGAGGCUGGUAACAUCAGAACAACAUCUAAAAGUUCAGUUGAAUCACAAUAUUUAGGCACUGCGCUCUAUCUGGCUCCUGAGAUAGUGAACGGGUCAGAGGAUAUUGACCAGAAGGUUGACAUAUAUAGUCUAGGAAUUGUGUUCUUAGAGAUUUGGCAUCCAUUUGAAACCGCAAUGGAGCGGCAUGUUGUUCUAACCAAACUGUGAAAUGAAGGGAUAUUGCCUGCAGCAUCCUAUUUUAGCUGAGCAGUUGAGGCUCAUGGUAUCUGACAAUCCAGAUGAGAGACCGACUGUGGUUUUGGUGUUUUCUGAGGCGUGAAGAACAUAGGAAUAUACCAAAAGAAAAUAGUUGAUCUAGUUGACUUGAACUAGUUCGUAUGUUAAUGCGCUACGAGGAUUUUGUAUGUUAAUGCGCUAUCAGGAUUAUGUAGUAUGUUUAAGUGAUGACAUAUGUUUUAUGAUGGAUUUAUGUAAGGACACAUCUCAUAUGCGAUGGGGACGUGUCUUGUUUCUAACGUGAAUAGGGAAGUUCGCUUUUGAAUA